This 1479-nucleotide ribosomal RNA is filed under the name uncultured prokaryote. Its description in RNAcentral is "partial 16S ribosomal RNA". It matches the Rfam family "Bacterial small subunit ribosomal RNA". The record is from RNAcentral.
AGAGUUUGAUCCUGGCUCAGGAUGAACGCUAGCGGGAGGCUUAACACAUGGGGGUAACAUUGGAGCUUGCUUCAGAUGACGACCGGCGAACGGGUGAGUAACGCGUAUGCAACCUACCUCAAACAGGGGAAUAGCUCAGGGAAACCUGGAUUAAUGCCCCGUAAUAUUUAAAACUGGCAUCAGUUUAAAAUUAAAGCUCCGGUGGUUUGAGAUGGGCAUGCGUGACAUUAGCUAGUUGGUAAGGUAAAGGCUUACCAAGGCUACGAUGUCUAGGGGUUCUGAGAGGAUGAUCCCCCACACUGGUACUGAGACACGGACCAGACUCCUACGGGAGGCAGCAGUGAGGAAUAUUGGUCAAUGGGCGCAAGCCUGAACCAGCCAUCCCGCGUGUAGGAAGACUGCCCUAUGGGUUGUAAACUACUUUUAUAAAGGAAGAAACCCUUCUACGUGUAGCUUUUUGACGGUAGUACAUGAAUAAGCAUCGGCUAACUCCGUGCCAGCAGCCGCGGUAAUACGGAGGAUGCGAGCGUUAUCCGGAUUCAUUGGGUUUAAAGGGUGUGUAGGCGGCUUAUUAAGUCAGUGGUGAAAUCCUGCGGCUCAACCGUAGAACUGCCAUUGAUACUGAUAAGCUUGAAUAUAGUUGAGGUAGGCGGAAUGAGUAGUGUAGCGGUGAAAUGCUUAGAUAUUACUCAGAACACCGAUUGCGAAGGCAGCUUACUAAACUAUUAUUGACGCUGAUGCACGAAAGCGUGGGUAGCGAACAGGAUUAGAUACCCUGGUAGUCCACGCCGUAAACGAUGUUCACUCGCUGUAUGCAAUACACCGUAUGCGGCCAAGCGAAAGUAUUAAGUGAACCACCGUUGGAGUACGUCGGCAACGGUGAAACUCAAAGGAAUUGACGGGGGCCCGCACAAGCGGAGGAACAUGUGGUUUAAUUCGAUGAUACGCGAGGAACCUUACCUGGGCUUAAAUGUAGAUUGCAUGACGUGGAAACACACUUUCCCUUCGGGGCUAUUUACAAGGUGCUGCAUGGUUGUCGUCAGCUCGUGCCGUGAGGUGUCGGGUUAAGUCCCAUAACGAGCGCAACCCCUAUCAUUAGUUGCCAUCAGGUUAAGCUGGGGACUCUAGUGAGACUGCCACCGUAAGGUGAGAGGAAGGUGGGGAUGACGUCAAAUCAGCACGGCCCUUAUGUCCAGGGCUACACACGUGUUACAAUGGCCGGUACAGAGGGCAGCUACACCGCGAGGUGAUGCUAAUCUCUAAAGCCGGUCUCAGUUCGGAUCGAAGUCUGCAACUCGACUUCGUGAAGUUGGAUUCGCUAGUAAUCGGAUAUCAGCCAUGAUCCGGUGAAUACGUUCCCGGGCCUUGUACACACCGCCCGUCAAACCAUGGAAGCUGGGGGGACCUGAAGUCUGUCACCGAAAGGAGCGGCCUAGGGUAAAACCGGUAACUGGGGUUAAGUCGUAACAAGGUAAAGGG